Molecule: ribosomal RNA, 1369 nt
Filed under: uncultured bacterium
Lineage: Bacteria
Description: bacterial SSU rRNA
Rfam family: Bacterial small subunit ribosomal RNA
Source: RNAcentral
GACGAACGCUGGCUGCGUGCCUAAUACAUGCAAGUAGAACGCUGAAGAGAGGAGCUUGCUCUUCUUGGAUGAGUUGCGAACGGGUGAGUAACGCGUAGGUAACCUGCCUUGUAGCGGGGGAUAACUAUUGGAAACGAUAGCUAAUACCGCAUAACAAUGGAUGACACAUGUCAUUUAUUUGAAAGGGGCAAUUGCUCCACUACAAGAUGGACCUGCGUUGUAUUAGCUAGUAGGUGAGGUAAUGGCUCACCUAGGCGACGAUACAUAGCCGACCUGAGAGGGUGAUCGGCCACACUGGGACUGAGACACGGCCCAGACUCCUACGGGAGGCAGCAGUAGGGAAUCUUCGGCAAUGGGGGCAACCCUGACCGAGCAACGCCGCGUGAGUGAAGAAGGUUUUCGGAUCGUAAAGCUCUGUUGUAAGUCAAGAACGGGUGUGAGAGUGGAAAGUUCACACUGUGACGGUAGCUUACCAGAAAGGGACGGCUAACUACGUGCCAGCAGCCGCGGUAAUACGUAGGUCCCGAGCGUUGUCCGGAUUUAUUGGGCGUAAAGCGAGCGCAGGCGGUUUGAUAAGUCUGAAGUUAAAGGCUGUGGCUCAACCAUAGUUCGCUUUGGAAACUGUCAAACUUGAGUGCAGAAGGGGAGAGUGGAAUUCCAUGUGUAGCGGUGAAAUGCGUAGAUAUAUGGAGGAACACCGGUGGCGAAAGCGGCUCUCUGGUCUGUAACUGACGCUGAGGCUCGAAAGCGUGGGGAGCGAACAGGAUUAGAUACCCUGGUAGUCCACGCCGUAAACGAUGAGUGCUAGGUGUUGGAUCCUUUCCGGGAUUCAGUGCCGCAGCUAACGCAUUAAGCACUCCGCCUGGGGAGUACGACCGCAAGGUUGAAACUCAAAGGAAUUGACGGGGGCCCGCACAAGCGGUGGAGCAUGUGGUUUAAUUCGAAGCAACGCGAAGAACCUUACCAGGUCUUGACAUCCCGAUGCUAUUUCUAGAGAUAGAAAGUUACUUCGGUACAUCGGUGACAGGUGGUGCAUGGUUGUCGUCAGCUCGUGUCGUGAGAUGUUGGGUUAAGUCCCGCAACGAGCGCAACCCCUAUUGUUAGUUGCCAUCAUUCAGUUGGGCACUCUAGCGAGACUGCCGGUAAUAAACCGGAGGAAGGUGGGGAUGACGUCAAAUCAUCAUGCCCCUUAUGACCUGGGCUACACACGUGCUACAAUGGUUGGUACAACGAGUUGCGAGUCGGUGACGGCGAGCUAAUCUCUUAAAGCCAAUCUCAGUUCGGAUUGUAGGCUGCAACUCGCCUACAUGAAGUCGGAAUCGCUAGUAAUCGCGGAUCAGCACGCCGCGGUGAAUACGUUCCCGGGCCU